Molecule: non-coding RNA, 1109 nt
Organism: Polyodon spathula (Mississippi paddlefish)
Lineage: Eukaryota; Metazoa; Chordata; Actinopteri; Acipenseriformes; Polyodontidae
Source: the annotation of a RefSeq genome assembly
GCAAAAAAAAAAAACCCACAUAGCGUAAAUAUAUUUAUAUCUGUAUAAAUCCAAUAACUCUUCACGCAGAUGUAACGAAUUUGACAUUGCCAGCAACAGAAUCCGAGCACGGCCGGCAGCGUGGAAGCAUGUGGCGCAUUCUCGGAUACGCCUUGGUCGCGGUAUAUUUCGAAGUUUCCGAAACGAGUCUCAGUUUACGCUCGUCUCACCACUUUGCUUCAGCCGGGGAGUCUCCGGUGGAGUUCACCUGCACCUCGAGUGCAGUGAUAGAAUCUGGAGGGGUCCGGCUGCUCUGGUUCAAAAAGAACGCGAGUGAUGUAUUGGAAAGACUGGACACGAAAUGCAACGCGUCCCCGUGCAAAUACACCAAUGAAUCGAACCACUCGGACACCUUCAAGCUGAAGAUUACAAAGACAGAGCGAGAAGAUUCUGGUACAUAUUACUGCGCGCACCCACCCGUUAUGGACCUGGAGUUUUCCAAUGGGGCCGCAUUGAACGUUGUAGCAGACAGUUCAACAGAGACCACUUCUGUGUCUAUCCUGGCCCCCGCUGACUCCGCCAGCGCGCUCGAUUCUGAGGGGUCACUGACAUUAGUCUGCCUGGUCCGGGGCCUCUCCUCGCCCGCGGUCCGAUUUCAGUGGUUUCUCUCUGGUAACGUCACGACUGCAACAGCGCCGGGCACCGGGAUCAAGGAGGGCGGAGACGGAGAGAGCUACAGCGCCACGAGCAGGCUGACAAUCCCGGCGGAGACGUGGCGGAGCGGGGCGGUGUGCGCCUGCGGAGCGCAACUGAACUCGAGCACAGUCAUCCGCAGCAGGGAGAUCUCAUACACGGCGGGAGAGAGCGUUCUCAAGAGGAAAGAUGAAGCAAUGGAAAUGCAUUUAACCAAACAAGUCAUUUUCUUUAUUAGACUGCAGUCCUGCUUCUGGCAUUAUAUUGAACUUCACUUCCAUUCUCAAAGUAUUACAGGAGGGCAUCUAAAGGCAUUGAAGCUGCACCGGAUCAUAUUUUCAAUUGAGAUAACUAGUGCUUAAUGUAUUGUAUAUGCGCCAUAGACUUCAUUAUCUUCACAGUAAAGUACUUGGUAAUUAAGAAUCUGGAAAUGUUAU